AACCAAAUGAAGCAAUUGCAUGCAACUGUUUUGUUCUACGGCUAAUCACAUAAGCAACCAACAGAUGUGAUAGCCGGCGCAACAGUUGGUUAUUUCAUCAGAGUCUGGAACGUUCUGCAGGGGAUUUGAUAAUAAGAUCCAGAUUUUAUUAAAAACCAAGUAUCAUCAUGGAAGCCUACAUUUGAAUGCCGCUCUUAAGUCAAAUACGUACAUGAUUG
Long non-coding RNA from Bactrocera neohumeralis, 218 nucleotides. RefSeq lists it as uncharacterized. The transcript is spliced from 3 exons. Lineage: Eukaryota; Metazoa; Arthropoda; Insecta; Diptera; Tephritidae. The record is from RefSeq and is a predicted model, not a curated record.